AUUGAACGCUGGCGGCAUGCUUUACACAUGCAAGUCGAACGGUAACAGGCCGCAAGGUGCUGACGAGUGGCGAACGGGUGAGUAAUGCAUCGGAACGUGCCCAGUCGUGGGGGAUAACUACUCGAAAGAGUCGCUAAUACCGCAUACGAUCUAUGGAUGAAAGCGGGGGACCGUAAGGCCUCGCGCGAUUGGAGCGGCCGAUGUCAGAUUAGGUAGUUGGUGGGGUAAAGGCUCACCAAGCCAACGAUCUGUAGCUGGUCUGAGAGGACGACCAGCCACACUGGGACUGAGACACGGCCCAGACUCCUACGGGAGGCAGCAGUGGGGAAUUUUGGACAAUGGGCGCAAGCCUGAUCCAGCAAUGCCGCGUGCAGGAAGAAGGCCUUCGGGUUGUAAACUGCUUUUGUACGGAACGAAACGGCUCUGGUUAAUACCCGGGGCUAAUGACGGUACCGUAAGAAUAAGCACCGGCUAACUACGUG
RNAcentral lists this ribosomal RNA (482 nucleotides) under uncultured bacterium. RNAcentral describes it as "partial 16S ribosomal RNA". It matches the Rfam family "Bacterial small subunit ribosomal RNA", at positions 30 to 507 of the family's 1533-position model. The record is from RNAcentral.